Molecule: ribosomal RNA, 226 nt
Filed under: uncultured bacterium
Lineage: Bacteria
Description: partial 16S ribosomal RNA
Rfam family: Bacterial small subunit ribosomal RNA
Source: RNAcentral
AGUAACGCGUGAGGAACCUGCCUCAAAGAGGGGACAACAGUUGGAAACGACUGCUAAUACCGCAUAAGCCCACGGCUCGGCAUCGAGCAGAGGAAAAAGGAGCAAUCCGCUUUGAGAUGGUCUCGCGUCCGAUUAGCUAGUUGGUGAGGUAAUGGCCCACCAAGGCGACGAUCGGUAGCCGGACUGAGAGGUUGAACGGCCACAUUGGGACUGAGACACGGCCCAG